AACGCGAAGAACCUUACCUGGGCUCGAACGGCUUCUCAACGAUCGUGGAAACACGGUUACCCCGCAAGGGGGUGGAGUCGAGGUGCUGCAUGGCUGUCGUCAGCUCGUGUCGUGAGAUGUUGGGUUAAGUCCCGCAACGAGCGCAACCCUCGCCCUUAGUUGCCAUCCCGCAAGGGGGCACUCUAGGGGGACUGCCACGGAUAACGUGGAGGAAGGUGAGGAUGACGUCAAGUCCUCAUGGCCUUUAUGUCCAGGGCUACACACGUGCUACAAUGGCCGGUACAAAGGGCUGCGAUGCCGUGAGGCUUAGCGAAUCCUUUUAAAGCCGGUCUCAGUUCGGAUCGGGGUCUGCAACUCGACCCCGUGAAGUCGGAGUCGCUAGUAAUCGCAGAUCAGCAACGCUGCGGUGAAUACGUUCCCGGGCCUUGUACACACCGCUACAGU
This 444-nucleotide ribosomal RNA is filed under the name uncultured bacterium. RNAcentral describes it as "bacterial SSU rRNA". It matches the Rfam family "Bacterial small subunit ribosomal RNA", at positions 958 to 1401 of the family's 1533-position model. The record is from RNAcentral.